Molecule: long non-coding RNA, 2779 nt
Filed under: Equus asinus (donkey)
Lineage: Eukaryota; Metazoa; Chordata; Mammalia; Perissodactyla; Equidae
Description: lncRNA (ENSEASG00005028290.1)
Source: RNAcentral
CGCGGCGACCCCCCGCGGCGGGGACGGCGAGGCCCGGCGGCGGCGCGGGCCCUGAGGAGCGAGCGGGGCCGGCGAGCCGGGGUCCGCGACGAGGAGGAGCCGGAGGGCGGCGGCGAGGCGCGGCGAGCGGGGCCCGAGGAGGAGCCGGAGCUGCGGCUGGUGCGCGGGCCGCCCCCGCCGCUCUCUUUAGGCCGGUGCGAGGAGACGGAGGCGCGGGCGCCGCUGCGGUACAUGGCUCCGGCAGCAGCGGCCACGGCGGCAGCUCCGACCCCGGGCGCCCGGGCCGCGGGCCCCCAGCGCGCCGCCGCAGCUGCAGCCUCGGCCGCCUCGGCCGCCACGGCUGCCGCGCCCGCCCCCGCAGCCAGCGCGGCCCCCCCUCCCCUCGGCCUGCACCGCCCCCGGGCCGGGCCGAGCGCGCCCCCGCGGCCGCAGCUGGCGGUUGGAGGGCGCGAGCACGCGUCCGACACACCCCCGCCCUCCGGGGCUCCCCGCUCCUCCACUCAGGGAGCAGCCACAGGAGCCCGAAGAGGGGAGGAGCGCGGAAGCCGGCGCGGGGCCGCACGAGCGCAGGGGAAGUGAAGCGUGCGACCUGCACUCCGCACGCUCCGCCUCCGAGCCCGCAAGAUGGCGGCCGUCGAGCCGCCCGACGCACCGCCCCCUGCGAUCACGUGACCCCUGGGCCUCCGCCCGGGGGGGUGGGGCGGGGCCCGGCGGAAGAGAAGGGAUUCGCGGGAGCCGAGCAGGCGCUUCCCGGGAUGCUCCAGGCUUCCGGACGCAGUGGGCUCGGAGGCCGUGGGAGAGCGUCCGCCUUCUCCUCUUCCCCCCGCCCCGUUAAUUUACGUGGGGACAAUAAACGGUUAUACAAGAUGGGAAUAUAAGUAAUCCCCAAAACCUUAAGUAUGUGGGAGGUUGCGCACCUCGGCAAGAGCGACCGCCGAAGUCCCGGCCCCCGGAGAAGCCGCGCGACAAUCGUCAGUUUACUUUGCAGUUUGCCUGAUUUCUAGAGGGUCACGGGGAAGAUCACUCACCGCCCGGUCCACUUCAGGAAGGGAGGCCCGGAGAGCUUUUGUGAGCGCUGCACACCCCCCGGUCUAUGACGAGAAUUUUCCUGGACGCCUGGCUGUAGGAGUCGUCCCCGGUCUCAGGGUCUUGCAUACGAAUUACGAAGGCGAGAAAAAGACAACACAGAGGAGAAGAAAAACAAUGGUCAAAAUAUGAAAAAAAUGUUGACCCUAACCAAACUUUUCAAAAUGAAACAAUGGCUUAACAGUUUUCGUCUAUCAACUAGAAACGCAAAACGAAAUUGAGAUGAAAAUCAGGUUUCUCAUUCCAAAGCAUAGGCAGAACAAAGAAAAAUUUAAUUAUAAAAGAUUUCCAUUGUCUAAUUUAUAUGUUUCCAUGUUAAAUUUAAAAUAUAUCCAAUUUCACAUGUUUUUGUAUAAUGGCAUCUGCUUACAUCAUAGUUUAGUAAAAAUAGAGUAAAAUUUUACCAAUUGAGUUUUCUUCCCCUCAGUUUACUUCACCCCUUAGCUUUAUCUGCCUGCUCUCUUUAGGCAUGUGAAUUUCUGAUUUCUGACUUCUGGGUUUUGUGGCUUAAAGGGGCCUUCAACGUGUCAAGGUUAUUAAUAUAUUCUUCUAUCUGUAUUUUAAGACUUUAAUGAUUUUGUUUUCCAUAUUUAGUUUACCUGGAAUUUUAUGUAUGAGUCCUCACAUAAUCUGUUAAGUUAAAAUCUAAAAUUAUUUUUUACAGAUGGAUAGACAAUUUUGUUUGAAACAUGAAUUGGGAUUAUCUGUAUACUGGGAAGUCAUAGUGAGGGAAUGAGUUAUCCUAAUGAAUGAACUCUGCCAAAUGCUAAUUAGCUACAUCUCAAUCCAAUUCUGUUCUCUUUUGGUUGGGUUACUUACAGUAAAGAGAUUUUUUUUUAAUGUUAUUUCUUUGUGAAAAAAACCCUAAAUACCAGGAUUGAUAAUGGAAGUAAAAGAAAGUAAAGUAAUCUGGGAAAGUAAUGGAUCUUAACCAAAAAAUAUAAGUUAUAUGCAAGGUUUCUGAGCAGUCUAGAACAUAUUUCAUAAUGUAUCCUGUACAAUAGAAACUUGCACUCAGAGUUUCGGAUACACCAGCUCAGUAGCAUAAAAGGCCUGUCAGAGAAGGGCGACAUUCUAUGUAAGUGAGUCUAGAGAAGUUGAUUUUCAGUCAUCUCUGGCUUCUGGGCUUAGGCGAUCUAAGAGAUGUUACCAGGGCUCAUCGAUUCCUGGGUCUCCUCUCAUUCUGGGCAUGAGGAAAUGAUGCCCUUCCUUCCCCCUUUCAGAAAGGGGGGCCAUGGGACUAUUUCUAGCCACUGUGGGCUGUGAAUGGAAGCACCUUGUGUCAUUUCCAGGCCCGAUCAGGAAAGAGUAGUUAUAAGAUUUCCAUGCUCUCCCUUCCCAUGCUGUGGCAACUGAGGAAGCCACUUGUUCCAGAUGGUACAGCCUGUCAACCUGGGUCCUGGAGUGACUGUGUGGAUCAGAGCACCACUCCCACCCUGAGCUGAACGUGCACCAUGAGCAUGAAAUAAAACUUUGUUGUGUUAAGCACUGAGAUUUGAGUGAGAAUUUGCUAUCACAGUAUAACCAUGGCUAAUAUAACUGUUAUGGAGGUGUUUUUUCAUUGUUUUGUUUUGCUUUGCUAUCUCAUCUGUAUUUUCUGACUUUUAGGAGAUAUAUAUAUAUAAUUUAUAUAAAAUUUAAAACCCAUAAAAGUUAUUCUACUGAAAAAAUAAUAAAAAAUCUUUCAGAGGUG